CUUACUGCAAUUUCCUUCGAACCUUUUUCACUAACUACUCUUUGAAACUCAGGAAAAUCUUGAAAACGUUUCAGCUUUACAACAAGGCUAUCAUAAAGCCAGCCAUUCCCUAUUUCCUUAGCAUAGACGAUCCGAUCCACCCUACGUUCCGAGGUCGCUCGAGUGGUUGGAAUCUUACGUUCCAUAGAAAUUUAUUGGCUUGGGAAGCAGAGGACUUGGUUAGGCUUUACACCUUAAUGAACCACUUUCUGGUUUGCACCUCUCAUAGGGAAGAUCAGUGGAAGUGGUUGGCAUCUUCAUCAGAUAAAUUUACCACCUCAUCUUUUUAUAAUCUGUUAUUAUCUUCGGGUGCUGUU
RNAcentral lists this unclassified non-coding RNA (356 nucleotides) under uncultured bacterium. Its description in RNAcentral is "contains 16S-23S intergenic spacer region". The record is from RNAcentral.